Molecule: transfer RNA, 71 nt
Filed under: Stegodyphus mimosarum
Lineage: Eukaryota; Metazoa; Arthropoda; Arachnida; Araneae; Eresidae
Rfam family: tRNA
About the family: Transfer RNA (tRNA) molecules are approximately 80 nucleotides in length. Their secondary structure includes four short double-helical elements and three loops (D, anti-codon, and T loops).
Source: Rfam by way of RNAcentral
GCCUUCGUGGUGUAACGGUUAGCACACUCGGCUCGUAUUCGAGAGGUCCAGGUUCGAGUCCUGGGGAGGCC